Molecule: non-coding RNA, 143 nt
Organism: Vibrio mangrovi
Lineage: Bacteria; Pseudomonadati; Pseudomonadota; Gammaproteobacteria; Vibrionales; Vibrionaceae
Source: Rfam
UAGUUGCCAUAGCUCCGAGUUUGACGGGCUAAGUUCCGGAUGGAAUAGGCUUGUUAAACCUGUGGUCGAUGUUGAUGACCCGAGGGUGGGAUUGGAAAUGAUCUCGCCUCCCGUGUUUGGAAAGGUGUUCCAUGGCUCAAUUU